CUAAGGAAUAUUACGGAGACUGCACAUUUUGUUUUUACUUUGUUCAGUUUUGAGAGGUUUACUCUCAAACACUUUUGUUCAUUGAAAACUGGAUAUUUGAAGUAAAUGUAAGUAAUACAAACCGAGAACACCGCGUUGAAUGAGUUUUUUAAUAAGUUCAAUUGCUUAUUUUCUUGAUCUAACUUCUAUCGCUAGAAGAAGGAUCAAAACCCAACCGCAAGGUUGAUAA
This 229-nucleotide unclassified non-coding RNA is filed under the name Enterococcus faecium. RNAcentral describes it as "partial miscellaneous RNA". Lineage: Bacteria; Bacillati; Bacillota; Bacilli; Lactobacillales; Enterococcaceae. The record is from RNAcentral.